AACCCAUGGGACGGGUUCAAGGAAAUAUCUAUUAAUUGUGACUCCUUUGCUAAAACAGCCACUCCCCUUUGCAGCGGGCUUUCCGCCAAGGAGGCAUUUAUCGUCCUUGAGUGGCAGAAUUCCCCUGGGAACACCUGGUUUUCUUUCAGAAGGAAGCUCAGUCUUUCCCUCUGAAGCUGGCCCCUCUGCCAAGCUGACUAUAAUCUGCUUUCCGGGGCCUCCGGUGUCGGAGCAGAGACCAGCUCGGGGAAUGAAGUCCCAGGGCACGCUCACAGGACAAGGCCUGAAGAAUACAGACCCGCUGCUGAGGAUGCUAAGACCACCUUGCUCUCUGGUCUCAGCAAGUCAGGCCCUGGGCUUUCCUUUCUGCUUGUCUAUUCUAUUAAUGCAUCAGUUGCUACAGCAGAAAUAAUGCUCAGGGCUGCCGGAGGAAUUGAACUUUAACCCACCAAACCGUGGAUGAGAGUAAAGGACGCAGUGGGGGAGACAGGAACGGUCAGCUAGGACGUAGACAGGGUGGCCUACAUCUGGCCUGUCCGUGUUCCACCCACCCCAGAAGCCUGGGGGUGGGAGGAGCCAGCCAGGUUGUCCCAGCACAUGAGACACGACCUGAAAAAUGACCAAGUACACAGGUUCCUAUGGCACUUGCCACGGGGGCGGAAUUGAAAUGCAGACAGAAUACAAUUUAGUGGAUUCUCCUCGAAGAGAUUUUCGCCUACGGCUAAUUCCGACUCUUACUUUACAGGCAGGAAGGCAGCUCGGAGAGUUUUAAGUGGUUAACUGAAUCUGCACAAUACACACAGGCCCCAGGCCAUCCAAAUUUGCACCUAUUUGCAAGCCGACCGGGGUGCAAAAUUGUUCCCCCAGUUGCAGCUUGCUCACGGAGUCUUCUUCCUGCUCGACCGGUUCAGCCUAUAUCUCCGGAGCAUCAGUCAUGCUCACUGCUGCGGGAUACAGUAUCCGGCAGACAGUAGUUGCUCGAUAAACGUUUUUGAAAACAUGACAGAGAAGACAGAAGCGUUCUUCUUAAGGGACCCGCAGACCAGUGUGGACGGGGCUACAAACAAACCGUGGCAGUGCGGCGUGCAAGGUGCCGGAGUGCGUGGUGGCAGCUUGGCCUCCAAAGGAAGACAGCGCAGGCUGUCCGGGAGAGGUGGCGGGACGUGGGUGUUGGAGAUCUGCUCAUGCCCUCAGCCGUGUGGGAUCUGGCCCAGAGGAGGAGGUGGCCUGUGGCCGGGACCUGAAGGACAGAUAAUGUAGCAACGUCGGAGACAAAAGGAAGGACAUCUAGGGAGGAGGGAACAGCAUGAGCAAAGGCACGGGCAUGGAAAAGAACGGGUCUGGGGGUAGCUGGUAAAGGGUUUGGCAUGGUUCCAAUACAGGGUAGUGAAACAGAAGGUGAAGACAAAGCGGGAGGGCCUCGAAGCCUCUGUAACCCUGAUUCACCAAAUAGCCCUGAUUCACUAGUCCUAGAAAUGGCACCUGGGGGCUUUCAGAGCUAGCUCGACUGAAGGACUACCUUUGGCUGCAUGACUCAGCCUGACAACGUGUUCAACUCAGCCAUUCACCAUAAAUCCCGGAUGGAAAACAACCCUGGCCUCGUUUUCUAUAAAAUUCCCCCAUGAGGCGCCUGGAUGGCUCGGUCGGUUCAGCAUUUGACUCUUGAUUUCGGCUCAGGUCAUGAUCUCACAGUUCAUGAGUUCAAGCCCUGCAUCGGGCUCUGCGCUGAAUGUGUAGAGCCUGCUUGGGAGUCUCUCUCUCUCCCCCUCUCUCGGCCCCCUCUCCCGCUUGUGCUCUCUCUCUCUCUCUCUCAAAAUAAAUAGUCUUUAAAAAAUACA
RNAcentral lists this long non-coding RNA (1838 nucleotides) under Felis catus (domestic cat). RNAcentral's name for it is "lncRNA (ENSFCAG00000047446.1)". Lineage: Eukaryota; Metazoa; Chordata; Mammalia; Carnivora; Felidae. The record is from RNAcentral.